RNAcentral lists this ribosomal RNA (390 nucleotides) under uncultured bacterium. RNAcentral describes it as "bacterial SSU rRNA". It matches the Rfam family "Bacterial small subunit ribosomal RNA", at positions 29 to 409 of the family's 1533-position model. The record is from RNAcentral.
AACGAACGCUGGCGGCGCGCCUAAUACAUGCAAGUCGAGCGAGAAGACGUAGCAAUACGUUUGUAAAGCGGCGAACGGGUGAGGAAUACAUGGGUAACCUACCCUCGAGUGGGGAAUAACUAGCCGAAAGGUUAGCUAAUACCGCGUACGCUCCUUGGACUUCGGUUCAGGGAGGAAAGCGAUACCGUGGGUAUCGCGCUCUUGGAUGGGCUCAUGUCCUAUCAGCUUGUUGGUGAGGUAACGGCUCACCAAGGCUUCGACGGGUAGCUGGUCUGAGAGGACAAUCAGCCACACUGGCACUGCGACACGGGCCAGACUCCUACGGGAGGCAGCAGUAAGGAAUAUUGCGCAAUGGGCGAAAGCCUGACGCAGCGACGCCGCGUGGGGGAU